GUAGGUGGCAAGCGUUGUCCGGAAUUAUUGGGCGUAAAGCGCGCGCAGGCGGUUCUUUAAGUCUGAUGUGAAAGCCCACGGGCUCAACCGUGGAGGGUCAUUGGAAACUGGAGAACUUGAGUACAGAAGAGGAAAGCGGAAUUCCAGGUGUAGCGGUGAAAUGCGUAGAGAUGUGGAGGAACACCAGUGGCGAAGGCGGCUUUCUGGUCUGUAACUGACGCUGAGGCGCGAAAGCGUGGGGAGCAAACAGGAUUAGAUACCCUGGUAGUCCACGCCGUAAACGAUGAGUGCUAAGUGUUAGGGGGUUUCCGCCCCUUAGUGCUGCAGCUAACGCAUUAAGCACUCCGCCUGGGGAGUACGGCCGCAAGGCUG
RNAcentral lists this ribosomal RNA (372 nucleotides) under uncultured organism. Its description in RNAcentral is "partial 16S ribosomal RNA". It matches the Rfam family "Bacterial small subunit ribosomal RNA", at positions 527 to 896 of the family's 1533-position model. The record is from RNAcentral.